Molecule: long non-coding RNA, 912 nt
Filed under: Pongo abelii (Sumatran orangutan)
Lineage: Eukaryota; Metazoa; Chordata; Mammalia; Primates; Hominidae
Description: lincRNA
Source: RNAcentral
AAUCUAAAGUGGUUGCUGUGGAGGACAGGGGUCAGUGGUGGAAGUGAGACUGAAAUGGACUCUGAAGUAAUAUCUGGACUUUGAAAUUGUUGCCUGUUCACUCUGGCUAGUCAUAUGCAGAAAACUGAAACUAGACCCCUUCCUGACACCUUAUAUAAAAAUUAACUCAAGAUGGAUUAAAGAUUUAAACGUAAGACCCAAAACCAGAAAAAUCCUAGAAGAAAACCUAGGCAAUACCAUUCAGGACAUAAGCAUGGGCAAAGACUUCAUGACUAAAACACCAAAAGCAAUGGCAGCAAAAGCCAAAAUUGACAAAAGGUUUCCUUAACGACAACAAAAAAGGGAGUAAUCCUACCUACUGUAAGAGUCAUGACUCUUGAUUGCAGCUGACAGAAGCUCAUGACAGCCUGGUUUAGAUAAAAGGGGAAAGGACGACUGGAAGAAUCUUGGAGUUGGGAAUAUGGCACAUAAUUGAAGGAAGAGCAAUAAAACUAUAAUUCUUCCCGUGGAGACUGGAGUUUCCAGGAUGUGAAAAUUACCUCUGCUUGGGCAGCUGCUCCCAACCCCAGCAACUUUGCUAUCUUAGAACGGAUCACCAGUGAAAGAGGGGAAGUUGCUACUGUGAUGAAUUCUGCCAUGUGGUACCAGACUGCUGCCCAGACCACAGUGUCCUCUGCAACCCUGGUAACUCACAUACAGGCCUGAUUCCACCUACAGCAAAGCUGGAUGCUAUGGUUGGCAGAGGCAAGCCCCUUGCCUGCACUUCAGGCCAAAGCCGGGAUGUGGCCUAGAUGGUUCCUAAGGUCCCUGACAGUCCUGAGAUCUUUCAUCUUGUCUAUUUCAGGUCAAAGCUUCUCAGAUGACCAAGAUGGUGCUGCCGAUGGUGUUGAGGACGGAGAACCCACCAAGCCC